AGCCCUGUGAGAAUGCCCUACAUAUUCCCGAACAUGGAAAAAAGGAGCAGGCAUUAGGCACGGCCCCAAGGCCAGCCCAAAACGCCUUGCUUAGCCACACCCCCAAGGGACUUCAGCAGUAAUAGACAUUAAGCCAUAAGUGAAAACUUGACUUAGUUAAACCAAGAGGGCCGGUUAAACUCGUGCCAGCCACCGCGGUUAUACGAGAGGCCCAAGUUGAUAAAUGCCGGCGUAAAAAGUGGUUAGUAAUACACCCUACUAAAGCCAAACAUCUUCAAAGCUGUCAUACGCUCCCGAAGACAGGAAGCCCCCCUACGAAAGUGGCUUUAGGUUAUACACUCCACGAAAGCUAGGAAACAAACUGGGAUUAGAUACCCCACUAUGCCUAGCCUUAAACACAGGUGACUAUUUUACACCUAUCGCUUGCCAGGGAACUACGAGCCCCAGCUUAAAACCCAAAGGACUUGGCGGUGCUUUAGACCCCCCUAGAGGAGCCUGUUCUAGAACCGAUACCCCCCGUUAAACCUCACCCUCUCUUGUCUUUCCCGCCUAUAUACCGCCGUCGUCAGCUUACCCUAUGAAGGAUGCACAGUAAGCAGAAUUGGUAGAACCCAAAACGCCAGGUCGAGGUGUAGCGUACGAGAGGGGAAGAAAUGGGCUACAUUCACUGAACCAGUGAAGAACGGACGAUGACUUGAAAUAAACAUCCAAAGGAGGAUUUAGCAGUAAGAGGAAAAACAGAGAGUCCCUCUGAA
RNAcentral lists this ribosomal RNA (755 nucleotides) under Stiphodon imperiorientis. RNAcentral's name for it is "partial 12S rRNA". It matches the Rfam family "Bacterial small subunit ribosomal RNA", at positions 262 to 1366 of the family's 1533-position model. Lineage: Eukaryota; Metazoa; Chordata; Actinopteri; Gobiiformes; Gobiidae. The record is from RNAcentral.